AUCUUGUAUUUUAGAGAAUUGUCCAAAAAUAAAAGACAUUUAAGUUGUAUUCUUUGAGAAGCUCACUUUGUUUUUCCACUCCGUUAAACACAUGCCAAUGUAUGUUAGUCCAUGAAACACUUUACAUUAUUCUUGGACAUUUCCUCGGACAUAAAAAAACCAAUAUGACAAAAGCUUAAGCGCAAGUGGCAAAACAUUGCUCUUAAGAAUUACUCAAUCUAUCUCAAUAUACCAAUGUACUCAAUCUAUCUCAAUGGUUGGAUAACUGUUACCACGAGCAUUACCACAUUAUAAACCCAGACUCUCACGUCAAUAGUCAGUGGUAACCUCAUGAAGAAAUUCAUGAAGACUUAGGUGGAUGUCACCCAAAAGUCAUUCGUAAAUCGUAAUAAGUCAGUCGCAUAUCAAAAUCUGAUAUUUGAUAAUCAUUCUCAUAAUAGCAACCCUCAACAUCUUGAACAAGGUAAAGAAAAUAACUAGUCUCACCCAGAGAAAAGUUGUAUCUAUAAAACUUUUUCA
Molecule: small RNA, 519 nt
Filed under: Arabidopsis thaliana (thale cress)
Lineage: Eukaryota; Viridiplantae; Streptophyta; Magnoliopsida; Brassicales; Brassicaceae
Description: ATSL248850
Source: RNAcentral